CCGGGAUGGACGCACCGCUGGUGUACCAGUUGUCUUGCCAAAGGCAUCGCUGGUAGCUAUGUGCGGACGGGAUAAGCGCUGAAAGCAUCUAAGUGCGAAGCCCCCUCAAGAUGAGAUUUCCCAUUUCUUCAAGAAAGUAAGACACCUCAGAGACGAUGAGUAGAUAGGCCGGGAGUGGAAGAGCCGUGAGGCUUGGAGCGGACCGGUACUAAUCAGUCGAGGACUUGACCAAAA
Molecule: ribosomal RNA, 234 nt
Filed under: Lactobacillus delbrueckii subsp. bulgaricus
Lineage: Bacteria; Bacillati; Bacillota; Bacilli; Lactobacillales; Lactobacillaceae
Description: partial 23S ribosomal RNA
Rfam family: Bacterial large subunit ribosomal RNA
Source: RNAcentral